CGGUGUUUAACUGGCGUGAUGUGGGACGUCCUACCGGUGGGCUUAGCCUCGCGAGGGGCGGCCCAACUAAUAUCCCGUCGCGGUGCUCUUUACUGAGUGUCGAGUCGGGCCGGUACGUUUACUUUGAACAAAUUAGAGUGCUUAAAGCAGGCUAUCCUCGCCUGAAUACUGCGUGCAUGGAAUAAUGGAAUAGGACCUCGGUUCUAUUUUGUUGGUUUUCGGAACCCCGAGGUAAUGAUUAAUAGGGACAGAUGGGGGCAUUCGUAUUGCGACGUUAGAGGUGAAAUUCUUGGAUCGUCGCAAGACGGACAGAAGCGAAAGCAUUUGCCAAAAAUGUUUUCAUUAAUCAAGAACGAAAGUUAGAGGUUCGAAGGCGAUCAGAUACCGCCCUAGUUCUAACCAUAAACGAUGCCAGCUAGCGAUCCGCCGAAGUUCCUCCGAUGACUCGGCGGGCAGCUUCCGGGAAACCAAAGCUUUUGGGUUCCGGGGGAAGUAUGGUUGCAAAGCUGAAACUUAAAGGAAUUGACGGAAGGGCACCACCAGGAGUGGAGCCUGCGGCUUAAUUUGACUCAACACGGGAAACCUCACCAGGCCCAGACACCGGAAGGAUUGACAGAUUGAUAGCUCUUUCUUGAUUCGGUGGGUGGUGGCGCAUGGCCGUUCUUAGUUGGUGGAGCGAUUUGUCUGGUUAAUUCCGAUAACGAACGAGACUCUAGCCUGCUAAAUAGGCGUACCUUAUGGUAUCGCGAAGGCCCCCGGCUUCGGCCGGUGGGUUUUUACUACCAACGUACAAACAAAUCUUCUUAGAGGGACAGGCGG
Molecule: ribosomal RNA, 819 nt
Filed under: uncultured eukaryote
Lineage: Eukaryota
Description: SSU rRNA
Rfam family: Eukaryotic small subunit ribosomal RNA
Source: RNAcentral